This is a long non-coding RNA of Drosophila arizonae, 241 nucleotides long. The record is from RefSeq and is a predicted model, not a curated record. Lineage: Eukaryota; Metazoa; Arthropoda; Insecta; Diptera; Drosophilidae.
UGCAGAAAGAUCGCACGGCGCUUCAAAGCGGUUCUUUACAGAUUUUCUUCAGGAUCUACCUACGCCGGGCACAGGUGGACCUAGCUUUGACACAACCAUUAACAGUAACAUAACCGGACUUGUGGGCAAGACAGUUAAAUUAACAUGCCGUGUAAAAAAUUUGGGAAACCGUACGAAAGUUCUUCCAUACUAAGUGUACCAUAUUGUCUUCGUACAGCAGCAACUUUGGGAGCACAUAAAA